This 398-nucleotide ribosomal RNA is filed under the name uncultured bacterium. RNAcentral's name for it is "bacterial SSU rRNA". It matches the Rfam family "Bacterial small subunit ribosomal RNA", at positions 358 to 773 of the family's 1533-position model. The record is from RNAcentral.
GGAAUCUUGGACAAUGGGGGCAACCCUGAUCCAGCGACGCCGCGUGGGUGAUGAAGGCCUUCGGGUUGUAAAGCCCUUUCACCGGGGACGAUGAUGACGGUACCCGGAGAAGAAGCACCGGCUAACUUCGUGCCAGCAGCCGCGGUAAUACGAAGGGUGCAAGCGUUACUCGGAAUUACUGGGCGUAAAGCGUGCGUGGGUGGUUUGUUAAGUCUGAUGUGAAAGCCCUGGGCUCAACCUGGGAAUUGCAUUGGAUACUGGCAGUCUAGAGUGCGGUAGAGGGUAGCGGAAUUCCCGGUGUAGCAGUGAAAUGCGUAGAUAUCGGGAGGAACAUCCGUGGCGAGGGCGGCUACCUGGACCAGCACUGACACUGAGGCACGAAAGCGUGGGGAGCAAAC